AGUGAAGCUCUGGCUGCCCUUGGAGCCAGCAGAGCCACGCUUAAGUGGCUUGGACUGCUUUCUGCUCUGGACCCCUGGUUUUUAAUCCUGGUUCCCUCCUUGUCAUGGAGAAGGGGUGGUAUUCUUCAUUUUUUCUCAGUCCUGGAGCAGAGAAGAACAUUCUUUGCAUCGUCCAUCUGCAGCUGUUUACAGCUAAGGGGGAUGCUGUACCAUCUACUGUGUUCCUGUGAGCAGUAAGAGACCUACUGGCUUUCAUGUCAUUUCCAACACUUGGUGGACCUCCUUGCCCAUCUGGCAGAUGAGCUGAGUUCUUGACACAUGUCAGGUACCCGACAACACCUGUAACUCCAUCUCCCGGAGUCUGACCCUUCUCCUGGCCUCCCAGGCACCUGUACUAACAUGCCCAUACAUACCCACAUGCAGACACGACUAAGCAAUUCUGUUUGGAGCUCAUUUUUAGAGGCAUCAAAGGUGUUUGACUCAAGUUUGAACCCAGGAUCUCCUCAGACGUCCUUCAAACAAGUAUCCUGCAAUGAUUCAGAAACCCCACAAACAGAAAUGUUAGCAAAAGACCCAGGAAAGCUGACCUUCAGCCAUAGUGCCAUGAAGCUUUCUUCUUCUUGACCAGCAAAGGACAUCAUCAUCACCACCACCACCAUCAUCAUCAUC
Molecule: long non-coding RNA, 669 nt
Filed under: Mus caroli (Ryukyu mouse)
Lineage: Eukaryota; Metazoa; Chordata; Mammalia; Rodentia; Muridae
Description: lncRNA (MGP_CAROLIEiJ_G0005473.1)
Source: RNAcentral